CCUACGGGGGCUGCAGUGGGGAAUAUUGGACAAUGGGCGAAAGCCUGAUCCAGCCAUGCCGCGUGUGUGAAGAAGGCCUUCGGGUUGUAAAGCACUUUCAGUGGGGAAGAAAGCCUUGGGGCUAAUACCCUCGAGGAAGGACAUCACCCACAGAAGAAGCACCGGCUAACUCCGUGCCAGCAGCCGCGGUAAUACGGAGGGUGCGAGCGUUAAUCGGAAUUACUGGGCGUAAAGCGCGCGUAGGCGGUCUGAUAAGCCGGUUGUGAAAGCCCCGGGCUCAACCUGGGAACGGCAUCCGGAACUGUCAGGCUAGAGUGCAGGAGAGGAAGGUAGAAUUCCCGGUGUAGCGGUGAAAUGCGUAGAGAUCGGGAGGAAUACCGGUGGCGAAGGCGGCCUUCUGGACUGACACUGACGCUGAGGUGCGAAAGCGUGGGUAGCAAACAGGAUUAGAUACCCGGGUAGUC
RNAcentral lists this ribosomal RNA (464 nucleotides) under Vreelandella stevensii. RNAcentral's name for it is "partial 16S ribosomal RNA". It matches the Rfam family "Bacterial small subunit ribosomal RNA", at positions 338 to 795 of the family's 1533-position model. Lineage: Bacteria; Pseudomonadati; Pseudomonadota; Gammaproteobacteria; Oceanospirillales; Halomonadaceae. The record is from RNAcentral.